ACUAUCAUCCUAACUGCACAUCCCUUUAUCCAAGGGCUGAAAAUCUGAUAGCACUAAUGACUUGGUGCUAUUAAUAGUAUAGUAGCCUAGUUCUAUAUAUAUACACAUAUAUAGAGUGAGGCUGGUAUGCUUCUGGAAGCACGGAGCCCUUCGUGCCUCCAAGUCGUUUUCGUUGUUGGAACUUUUGAAUUGACGAUUAGCUCCGUUAGACUUGAUCUAGAAUAUUACAUAUAUAUACACACACACACAUACAUAUACAGAGAGUAGGUCUUGUGUGCUAUUAGGAGCAUGGAGGCUCUUAAGCCGUUUUCGAUGAUGUAACUAACAAAUCGAUAAUCGACUCUAUUAGACUUGAUCUAACGUAUUUGAACUAUCUAGAAAAUAAAUUUUGCUGUUUUUCGAUAUCGAUUAUCUAGUAAUCGAAAAAACUCAAAAUCAACGGUUGAAAAUAAAAAUCUCACAAAAAGUUAUGAUGUAGCACUGAAAUUUUCGAUCAGAGAUAUUGAUCUUGUUGUAGAUAGUAUAAAGAAUUUUCUAUCAAAAUUUCAUCUGAUUUGAAUACUUCUACACUGUUAAACUUGCAAACGGUAUACAUCAACCAUUAAAAAUUGUUGAUUUUGAAUCUUUUUGAUCACUAGGUAAAUGAUAUCAAAAAUUCACAAAAAUUAUUUUCUAAAUACUUCAAAUACGCUAGAUCAAGUCUAACUGAGCCGAUUGUCGUUUCGAAAGUUCCACCAUCGAAAACGGCUUAGGAGCAUGGAGGCCUUCGUGCUCCUAAUAGCACACAAGUACUAUACUCUAUAUAUAUAGUCCGGCUACUAUACUCUUAUGAGUAUGAUUACCUUCGUACUCAUAUGUUGUUUUCAGUGAUAGAACUUUCGAAUCGACGAUCCAUACCGUUAAACAUUAUCUAGAGCAUUUAAAACUUUUAGAAAUCAAAAUUUAUAAUCUUUUAACAUCAUUUAUCUUACGACCAAAAGAUCUCAAAAUUGACAAUUUUUAAUGGCCAGUAUGGGAUACUUGUUAGUUUAACGGUAUAAAAAAAAAUCAGAAUCGAUUGAAUUUUUGAUAGAAAAUUCUAUUCACUACCUGGAUAAAGAUCAAUAACUCCGAUUUUAAAUUGAAGGAUUCGAUCAUCCAUUUUUAGGAAGUCGUUUGAUUUUGACCGUUCAUUUUAUACCCGCUUGAUGGAUUUUAUUAUGAUUUCGAAAAAUUACAAAAUUUAUUUUUCAGAAGUUUCAAAUACUCUAGAUCAUAUUUAACAGAGUUGAUCGUCGAUUCGGAAGCUCAAUCAUUGAAAACAACUUAUGAGUACAAAGGGCUCUAUACUCAUAAGAGUAUAGUAGCCCUACCACACACACACAUAAGAGUGAGGUUGGUAUGCUUCUGGAAGCAUGGAGCCCUCCGUGCUUCCAAGUCGUUUUCGAUGUUGGGAUUUUCGAAUCGACGAUCAGCUCCGUUAUACUUUAUCUAGAGUAUUUGAAGUACCUAGAAAAUAAAUUUCGUAAUUUUUCGAUAUCAUUUGCAUGGUGAUCGAAGGGGCUCAAGAUCAAUAAUUUUAAUAGUCGUGGUGAGCCGUUUGCAAGUUUAACGGUGUAGAAAUAUCCAAAUCACAUGAAAUUUGAUAGAAAAUUCUUUAUACUAUAUAAAAUAAGAUCAAUAUUUUUGAUCUAAAAUUUUAACGUCAUAUCAUCAUAUUUUAUAACAUUUUUAUUUUCAGUCGUUGAUUUUGAGCCUUUUCGAUCACUAGGCAAACGAUAUAAAAAAAUUGUAAAAUUUUGAGCCAUUUCGAUCACUAGGCAAAUGAUAUCAAAAAAUUGUGAAAUUUAUUUUUUAGGUAUUUCAAGUACUCUAGAUUAAGUCUAAUGGGGCUGAUCGUCAAUUCGAAAGUUCCAAUGUCGAAAACGACUUGGACCAGAAGCAUACCAGCCUCACUCUACACACACACAUACACACAGACACACACACACACAUAUAUAUAUAGAGUUGAGCUAGAAUACUCUCAAAAGCACCAAGAGGUCGGUGCUUUUGAGUUUUUAACCCUUGGAUGGAAAAAUGUAAGAGGUUGGGAUGAUGGUGGUAGGUGGUGGUAGGUGGACUAGUGUUUGAUCCAAGGGCUAUUAGUAAGCAAGGAGUAGAUCCAAGGGCUAGAAGCCUAGAAGCACCAAGGGGGUAAUACUUCUAAAAGUAUUCUAGAUAAAUUCUAUAUAUAUAUAUAUAUAUAAAGAGAGUUGAGCUANUUAUUUGAUUUGAAUACUUCUACACUAUUAAACUUGCAAACGGUAUACAUUAACCAUUAAAAAUUGUUGAUUUUGAAUCUUUUUGAUCACUAGGUAAAUGAUAUCGAAAAUUCACAGAAAUUAUUUUCUAAAUACUUCAAAUACGCUAGAUCAAGUCUAACUGAGCCGAUUGUUGUUUCGAAAGUUUCACCAUCGAAAACGGCUUAGGAGCAUGGAGGCCUUCGUGCUCCUAAUAGCACACAAGUACUAUAUAUAUAUAGUCCGGCUACUAUACUCUUAUGAGUAUGAUUACCUUCGUACUCAUAUGUUGUUUUUAGUGAUAGAACUUUCGAAUCGACAAUCCAUACCGUUAAACAUUAUCUAGAGCAUUUAAAACUUUUAGAAAUCAAAAUUUAUAAUCUUUUAACAUCAUUUAUCUUGCGACCAAAAGAUCUUAAAAUUGACAAUUUUUAAUCGCCGGUAUGGGAUACUUGUUAGUUUAACGGUAUAAAAAAAAAUCAGAAUCGUUGAAUUUUUGAUAGAAAAUUCUAUUCACUACCUGGAUAAAGAUUAAUAACUCCGAUUUUAAAUUGAAGGAUUUGAUCAUCCAUUUUUAGGAAGUCGCUUGAUUUUGACCGUUCAUUUUAUACCCGCUUGAUUGAUUUUAUUAUGAUUUCGAAAAAUUACAAAAUUUAUUUUUUAGAAGUUUCAAAUACUCUAGAUCAUAUUUAACAGAGUUGAUUGUCGAUUCGGAAGCUCAAUCAUUGAAAACAACUUAUGAGUACAAAGUGCUCUAUACUUAUAAGAGUAUAGUAGCCCUAUUGCACACACACACACACACACACACACACACAUAUACAUAAGAGUGAGGUUGGUAUGCUUCUGGAAGCAUGGAGCCUUCCGUGCUUCCAAGUCGUUUUCGAUGUUGGGAUUUUCGAAUCGACGAUCAGUUCCGUUAUACUUGAUCCAGAGUAUUUGAAGUACUUAGAAAAUAAAUUUCGUAGUUUUUUGAUAUCAUUUGCAUGGUUAUCGAAGAGGAUCAAGAUCAAUAGUCGUGGUGAGCCGUUUGCAAGUUUAACGGUGUAGAAAUAUCCAAAUCACAUGAAAUUUGAUAGAAAAUUCUUUAUAGUAUAUAAAAUAAGAUCAAUAUCUUUGAUCUAAAAUUUUAACGUCAUAUCAUCAUAUUUUGUAACAUUUUUAUUUUCAGUCGUUGAUUUUGAGCCCUUUCGAUCACUAGGCAAAUGAUAUAAAAAAAUUGUAAAAUUUUGAGCCAUUUCGAUUACUAGGCAAAUGAUAUCAAAAAAUUGUGAAAUUUAUUUUUUAGGUAUUUCAAAUACUCUAGAUUAAGUUUAACGGAGGUGAUCGUCAAUUCGAAAGUUCCAAUAUCGAAAACGACUUGGACCAGAAGCAUACCAGCCUCACUCUACACACACACACACACACACACACACACACACACACACAUAUAUAGAGUUGAGCUAGAAUACUCUCAAAAGCACCAAGAGGUCGGUGCUUUUGAGUUUUUAACCCUUGGAUGGAGAAAUGUAAGAGGUUGGGAAGAUGGUGGUAGGUGGUGGUAGGUGGUGGUAGGUGGACUAGUGUUUGAUCCAAGGGCUAUUAGUAAGCAAGGAGUAGAUCCAAGGGCUAGAAACCUAGAAGCACCAAGGGGGUAAUACUUCUAAAAGUAUUCUAGAUAAAUUAUAUAUAUAUAUAUA
This 3934-nucleotide long non-coding RNA is filed under the name Ananas comosus (pineapple). RNAcentral describes it as "long non-coding RNA (ACOM_LNC035458)". The record is from RNAcentral. Lineage: Eukaryota; Viridiplantae; Streptophyta; Magnoliopsida; Poales; Bromeliaceae.